Molecule: small nuclear RNA, 18 nt
Filed under: Arabidopsis thaliana (thale cress)
Lineage: Eukaryota; Viridiplantae; Streptophyta; Magnoliopsida; Brassicales; Brassicaceae
Description: snRNA_10173
Source: RNAcentral
AGAAAUUCAACCAAGCGC